UUGUCGCCAGCUCGUGUCGUGAGAUGUUGGGUUAAGUCCCGCAACGAGCGCAACCCUUGCCUUUAGUUGCCAGCAGUUCGGCUGGGCACUCUAAAGGGACUGCCGGUGUUAAACCGGAGGAAGGUGGGGAUGACGUCAAGUCCUCAUGGCCUUUAUGACCAGGGCUACACACGUACUACAAUGGCCGAUACAAAGGGCAGCGACACUGCGAGGUGAAGCCAAUCCCGUAAAAUCGGUCUCAGUCCGGAUUGGAGUCUGCAACUCGACUCCAUGAAGUUGGAAUCGCUAGUAAUCGUGGAUCAGCAUGCCACGGUGAAUACGUUCCCGGGCCUU
Molecule: ribosomal RNA, 333 nt
Filed under: uncultured Desulfobulbus sp.
Lineage: Bacteria; Pseudomonadati; Thermodesulfobacteriota; Desulfobulbia; Desulfobulbales; Desulfobulbaceae
Description: bacterial SSU rRNA
Rfam family: Bacterial small subunit ribosomal RNA
Source: RNAcentral